UGAAAUGGAUGGCGCUGUAGCGUCGUGCCUAUACUCGGCCGUCAACGGUACAGGGGGCGGCGACCUUCGCGGGCGCCGGGCCGUUAUACCUUGACGAGUAGGAGGGCGCGGCGAUGUGCGCAGAAGGGUCUGGGCGUGAGCCUGCCUGGAGCCGUCGCCGGCGCAGAUCUUGGUGGUAGUAGCAAAUACUCCAGCGAGGACCUGGAGGACUGACGUGGAGAAGGGUUUCUUGUGAACAGCUGUUGCACAAGAGUCAGUCGAUCCUAAGCCCUAGGAGAAAUCCUAUGUCGAUGGGAAGCCGUUUGAAUUUUGAUCGAUCUCCCAUGUAUAUUUGGGUGAGAGUUCUGAUGAAAUGUGCGACCCACGGGGCGAAAGGGAAUCCGGUUCCUAUUCCGGAACCCGGCUGCGGAACCGUCUUAUGCGGGCCCUUGCAUGAGAGCUCGACGGGGCAACCCGAAGAGACCCGGAGACGCCGGCGGGAGGUCCGGAGAGAGUUUUCUUUUCUCUAUAAGCGUUCGAGUUCCCUGGAAGCCUAUUGCAGGGAGAUAGGGUUUGGAACGCGAAGAGCACCGCAGUUGCGGCGGUGUCCGGAUCUUCCCCUCGGACCUUGAAAAUCCGGGAGAGGGCUACGCGGAACAUCCGCGCCGGAUCGUACCCAUAUCCGCAGCAGGUCUCCAAGGUUAAGAGCCUCUAGUCGAUAGAAUAAUG
This 708-nucleotide ribosomal RNA is filed under the name Clastoptera sp. JRC-2010. RNAcentral describes it as "eukaryotic LSU rRNA". It matches the Rfam family "Eukaryotic large subunit ribosomal RNA", at positions 1314 to 1900 of the family's 3401-position model. The record is from RNAcentral. Lineage: Eukaryota; Metazoa; Arthropoda; Insecta; Hemiptera; Clastopteridae.